This 253-nucleotide ribosomal RNA is filed under the name uncultured bacterium. RNAcentral's name for it is "partial 16S ribosomal RNA". It matches the Rfam family "Bacterial small subunit ribosomal RNA", at positions 524 to 776 of the family's 1533-position model. The record is from RNAcentral.
UACCGAGGGUGCGAGCGUUGUUCGGAAUUAUUGGGCGUAAAGGGCGCGUAGGCGGUGCGGUAAGUCACCUGUGAAAUCUCCUGGCUCAACUGGGAGCUUGCAGGCGAAACUGCCGUGCUGGAGUGUGGGAGAGGUGCGUGGAAUUCCUGGUGUAGCGGUGAAAUGCGUAGAUAUCAGGAGGAACACCUGUGGCGAAAGCGGCGCACUGGACCACAACUGACGCUGAGGCGCGAAAGCUAGGGGAGCAAACAGG